UACGGGAGGUGCAAGCGUUGUUCGGAAUUACUGGGCGUAAAGGGCUCGUAGGUGGCCAAGUAAGUCAGGCGUGAAAUCCCUCGGCUUAACUGGGGAACUGCGUCUGAUACUGGCGAGCUUGAGUGCAGGAGAGGAACGCGGAAUUCCAGGUGUAGCGGUGAAAUGCGUAGAUAUCUGGAGGAACACCGGUGGCGAAGGCGGCGUUCUGGACUGCAACUGACACUGAGAAACGAAAGCCAGGGUAGCAAACGGG
This 253-nucleotide ribosomal RNA is filed under the name uncultured bacterium. RNAcentral's name for it is "partial 16S ribosomal RNA". It matches the Rfam family "Bacterial small subunit ribosomal RNA", at positions 524 to 776 of the family's 1533-position model. The record is from RNAcentral.